This 440-nucleotide ribosomal RNA is filed under the name uncultured bacterium. RNAcentral describes it as "partial 16S ribosomal RNA". It matches the Rfam family "Bacterial small subunit ribosomal RNA", at positions 338 to 795 of the family's 1533-position model. The record is from RNAcentral.
CCUACGUGCGGCAGCAGUGGGGGAUAUUGCACAAUGGGGGGAACCCUGAUGCAGCGCCGCCGCGUGGGUGAAGAAGCGCCUCGGCGCGUAAAGCCCUUUCAGCAGGGAAGAAAAUGACGGUACCUGAGGAAGAAGCCCCGGCUAACUACGUGCCAGCAGCCGCGGUAAUACGUAGGGGGCACGCGUUAUCCGGAUUUACUGGGUGUAAAGGGGGCGCAGACGGCGAUGCAAGCCAGGAGUGAAAGCCCGGGGGCCAACCCCGGGACUGCUCUUGGCACUGCGUGGCUGGAGUGCAGGAGGGGCAGGCGGAAUUCCUGGUGUAGCGGUGAAAUGCGUAGAUAUCAGGAGGAACACCGGUGGCGAAGGCGGCCUGCUGGACUGCAACUGACGUUGAGGCCCGAAAGCGUGGGGAGCAAACAGGAUUAGAUACCCCGGUAGUC